Molecule: long non-coding RNA, 3034 nt
Filed under: Musa acuminata (dwarf banana)
Lineage: Eukaryota; Viridiplantae; Streptophyta; Magnoliopsida; Zingiberales; Musaceae
Description: long non-coding RNA (MACU_LNC004217)
Source: RNAcentral
GCAGGAAUCGUUGUAUGGCAUUGGAAGGAAUGGGAAGUCCUCUGAGGAAUGCGGGCUCUCACAGGGCCCAACAACAGACACAGGUCGAACCCCCACAGAUUCUUCGGCCUCCUCUCGAGCUCGAUGCGGUUCACCGACUCGCCGGUGGUGGAACUCCCCGUGGGCGGCGCCGUCCUCACCUUGGAACACGACAACGGCUCCAUGCACGUCGGCAUCUCCGUCUGGCCCUGCUCCCUCAUAUCGACCUCGGCCUCGACGUUGUGUUAACCGACAUCGCCCCCGUGAUGCUCGCCCUCCGCCCCAAUUUGCAUGGAUAUCAAAGGGCUUGUCAUACUAUGGCAAUUUGAGCAUAGGUUUUUCAAACACAACAAUAAAAUCUCCUGUCGGCAGCUGUCUCACCAAAAUCAAAAUUUAUUGCCUACAACUCCUCGUCGAAGUUUUUAAGCCACCCAAGAAAACUCUAGACUCCACCAAAUAGUACAAGGCCCGCCUCGGUGACGUCGCAACUCGGUCAGUCCAAUGCCCAAGUUAUGCAUAUCGACCAGUUCAAUACCCGAGUUACACACCUCGGUCAACCAGUGGCCAAGUCACACAUCUCGGCCAGUCCGAUGCUUGAGUUAUGCAUCUCGACUAGUCUAAUGCCCAAGUUAUGCAUCUUGGCUGGUCUAGUGCUCAGAGUCGUGCAUCUCGACCAACUAGUGCCCGAGUCACACAUCUUGGCUACUCAGAUACCCGAGUUAUGCAUCUCGGCUAGUUUAGUACUCGAGUUAUGCAUCUUGGCCAGUUCAGUGCCUGAGUUAUGCAUCUCGACCAAGCUAGUGCUGAAUCUCGACCGAUCUAGUGCCCGAGUUAUGCAUCUUGGCCAAUCCAGUGCCCAAGUUAUGCAUCUUGGCAAAUCCAAUGCUCGAGUUACGCAUCUUGGCCAAUCUAGUACUCGGGUUAUGUAUCCGGUCAGUCCAGUACCCAAGUUACGCAUCUUGGCCAAUUAGCGCCCGAGUCAUGCACCUCAGCCAAUCCGGUGCCCGAGUCAUGUAUCUCGACUAGUCCAUUGCCCAAGUCAUGCAUCUCGACCAUUCUAGUGCUCAAGUUAUACAUCAUGGCUAGUCAAUGCCCGAGUUAUGCAUCUCGACCAAUCUAAUGCCCGAGUUACGCAUCUUGACUAGUCUAGUGCUUGAGUUAUGCAUCUCAGUUAGUUUAGUACUCGAGUUAUGCAUCUCGGCCAACAAACUCUCGAGUCUUGCACCUUGGCCAAUAUAGUGCUCGAGUCAUGUAUAUCAGUCAAUCCAAUGCUGAGACAUACAUCUCGACCAGUCCAAUGCUCGAGUUAUGCAUCUCGACCAGUCCAGUGCCCGAGUUAUAUACCUCAGUCAAUUAAUAUCAAAGUUAUGCAUCUCGACUAGUUCAAUUAAUGUCAAAGUUAUGCAUCUCGACUAGUCCAACGCUCAGAGUUAUCCAUCUCAAUUAACUUGUGUUCGUACUAUGAAUCUCAGACAUACCAGAGGCUCACAGUAACGAGUAAAGGAAAUUGAGGCAGACCACUUAGCUCAAAGGGGGACCAUGAUAGGAGAACUCAAGCUCCCAACAAAACUGUGGACCCAGCCAAAGAAAGCACCAAGUGAUGCCUCGAGCCCCUCUACAGGGAAUCCGAUGCAUGCCUCUUGUGGGGUUUGUGGGGUGGGGGGGAAGAGAAUGAUAGGGCAUAUUUUCACAUCACCCCCACGACUGCAUUCAGCUACCAUUUCAACAGCUGAUGUGGCACCCCGAGGCUGAUGUGACACCCACAUGCACAUCGACAUGGCACCUUGGAAUUGUACGAGAUAACAGACUGCACUUACGUCAUCAGCGAAGACUCGUACAAUACAAGCGACUACGCCUGUGUCGCCCGAGGCUGUAUAGGGCGAUGCUGCACAGUGCAGAGUCGCUCGGGAAGGCGUGAAACGACAUGGCAUGGUGCAAAGCCAUGCAGGUCGGUUAGCGUCUACGUGAAAUACACGAGCCCAUCGCUUGGAGCGUCGAUGACCAUUAACGAACCAAGUACGAUCAACCCUAGAACGCAAGUAUAAAAAUCGGCCUAUCGGCUAGCCCAAGGGUUCGGAUCUUAGACACUUAAAUCUACCCCAUCACUACUAUACUAACAUAAACUUCGGAAGGGUCGAGUCGGGAUUCCCUCUCCCGACUUUGGCUUGUGUGCAGGAGCCCAACAAGAAAGGAAAAGCAAACCCUAACUCUACUUUGAAUUGGCUCGACAGACGACGUCCCAACCUGACAUCACAUCGACUCUCUCCAACCAAGAAACCAUGUUGAUGACCUUAUGCACUGAGAUCGGAUCGAAUCGUACUGACAACUCGGCCACGGUGUGAGGAUGAUCGGUAUCACGUUUUCUGAUGCACCUUUGGUUUCUUCCCGUGCAAUGAAAUCGAAUGCGAUCGAAAUCUUACGACAUAAAGACUAAGUAAGAACAGGUUGAAUCAAUCCAACCGCUUCCUCGAUCCAAUUGAAUCGAUCAGUUUGCUUAGAAACUUUAGAACAAGUGUUCUAACAUGCCAAAAUUAUCAAAAUGAGGAUUUAUAAUUUAUAAAAUUCCUAGAAUUUCAUGAUUAAAUAAUCAAAACAUAUUUCUAAAAUAUAAUAUCAUAAUUCUAAAUUUAAAAUGAGAUGGAUCUUGAAAAUUCUAAAAUAAAUAACCUAAUUUUAAUUUUAAUUUAAUUUAUUGGGGUUUCUACGGUGGGACCUGGAUCGACCCGCCACGUUAGCCCUCGUACCCGACCUGCUGAGCGCAAACCCAAAUCGACCAUUCUCGUCGAUCCCCCGCAGACUCUUCGCCCUCCUCUCCAGCUCGAUGCGUUUCACCGACUCGCCGGUGGUGGAACUCCCCGUGGGCGGCGCCGUCCUCACCUUCGAGCAGGACAACGGCUCCAUGCACGUCGGGACCUCCGUCUGGCCCUGCUCCCUCGUCCUCGUCAAGUUCGUCGAGCGGUGGCUCCCCCGCCCCGACGCCGCCGUUAACCCCUACGCUGACCUCCUCCGCUUCCCC